AUGUAUGGGAGCGGUUGGAGGAAGUUCUAUGAUGACAACAAGCUAGGGAAGGGUCAGAUGGUGGUGUUCUUCCUGGAUGAACCUUCGCCUAGGGCAGCUAUUUGUGUGAUCCAAGUGGGCAGCGGCUCCGAAGAUGAACAGCCUAUGGAAGAGGGUGAUCCCAUUGAAGCUUCAAGCGAUGAUGGUGAAGGCAUUGUUCGCAUCAGGGAGCUUCUACUUAAUGAGACAGAGUGUUUUCAGCUACAAGGGUUGCUGCCUCUCAGUGAUGAUUUCAUCGGGUUUCCUUUCGUUCACCGCCUCACAAGGACAGACAAUUGUUUGGGCAUGAUGGCUCAACAUCUUUCUAGAGGCCACCCAACGGCACUGUUCGAAUUGAGACACAGAGAGAAAACGGGAGAGGAAGGAAGCCACAUCACGGGGGUGGGGUUUCCGCGGCGGAACUCGCCGGCGAUGAGAUGCUCGGCGACGCCCGUGAGGAGAUGCUCGGCGAUCCGAGCGCCCCUCCAGAGUCCUCGCGCCCUGCUGAUGAGGGUCUGA
Molecule: ribosomal RNA, 537 nt
Filed under: Triticum aestivum (bread wheat)
Lineage: Eukaryota; Viridiplantae; Streptophyta; Magnoliopsida; Poales; Poaceae
Description: partial small subunit ribosomal RNA
Source: RNAcentral